Molecule: non-coding RNA, 203 nt
Organism: Pelobates cultripes (western spadefoot toad)
Lineage: Eukaryota; Metazoa; Chordata; Amphibia; Anura; Pelobatidae
Source: the annotation of a GenBank genome assembly
AUAGACACCAGAAUCACGAUAUUAAGUGUUGGAACAUCUGUCCUGUCCUUGAUGGUCAGCAGAAUUACCUGCCAUGGUCUUAUAGUUCUAUCCAGACUGUACCACGACCUCAAGUACUUGGAGACACUCUUGAGAGACCAUACAAAGGAAUGCAGAAAAUGUCCAAAAUGUAUUAAACAGAACGCAGCUUUUAAAUCAUAUGC